GGGGAUUCUUGGACAAUGGGGGAAACCCUGAUCCAGCCACGCCGCGUGCGGGAUGAAGGCCCUAGGGUUGUAAACCGCUUUUAACAGGAACGAAAAUGCCGGUACCUGUAGAAUAAGGAACGGCCAACUUCGUGCCAGCAGCCGCGGUAAUACGUAGGGUCGGAGCGUAGUCCGGAAUUACUGGGCGUAACGAACACGUAUGGGGUUUGUUGCGUGGUUCGUGAAAUUUCGCGUCUCUUUUUUGAGCG
Molecule: ribosomal RNA, 248 nt
Filed under: uncultured organism
Description: partial 16S ribosomal RNA
Rfam family: Bacterial small subunit ribosomal RNA
Source: RNAcentral